AAGAGAAAUUGGCCGAGUAGGUAUUAGUCUCUUAAAUUAAUUACGUAAUUAGAAUAAGUUAUUAAAUAU
This 69-nucleotide transfer RNA is filed under the name Atypus karschi. RNAcentral's name for it is "tRNA-Lys". The record is from RNAcentral. Lineage: Eukaryota; Metazoa; Arthropoda; Arachnida; Araneae; Atypidae.